This 419-nucleotide ribosomal RNA is filed under the name bacterium. Its description in RNAcentral is "partial 16S ribosomal RNA". It matches the Rfam family "Bacterial small subunit ribosomal RNA", at positions 355 to 776 of the family's 1533-position model. The record is from RNAcentral.
UGGGGGAUAUUGCACAAUGGGCGAAAGCCUGAUGCAGCGACGCCGCGUGGGGGAUGAAGGCCUUCGGGUUGUAAACUUCUUUUGCUCUGAACAAGGCAUGCUAAUGGGUGUGUUGCGUGUAGGGGUUGAUUAGCGCCGGCUAACUACGUGCCAGCAGCCGCGGUAAUACGUAGGGCGCGAGCGUUGUCCGGAAUUAUUGGGCGUAAAGGGCUGGUAGGUGGCUGGUUGCGUCUGUCGUGAAAGCUCAUGGCUUAACUGUGGGUUUGCGGUGGAUACGGGCUGGCUUGAGUGCAGUGGGGGAGGCUGGAAUUCCUGUUGUAGCGGUGGAGUGCGAAGAUAUCAGGAGGAGUACCGGUGGCGAAGGCGGGUCUCUGGGCUGUUACUGACACUGAGAAGCGAAAGCAUAGGGAGCGAACAGG